UACGGGGGGGGUAAGCGUUGUUCGGAAUUACUGGGCGUAAAGGGCUCGUAGGCGGCCAACUAAGUCGGACGUGAAAUCCCUCAGCUUAACUGGGAAACUGCGUCCGAUACUGGAUGGCUUGGAUUUGGGAGAGGGAUGCGGAAUUCCAGGUGUAGCGGUGAAAUGCGUAGAUAUCUGGAGGAACACCGGUGGCGAAGGCGGCAUCCUGGACCAAUAUUGACGCUGAGGAGCGAAAGCCAGGGGAGCAAACGGG
Molecule: ribosomal RNA, 253 nt
Filed under: uncultured bacterium
Lineage: Bacteria
Description: partial 16S ribosomal RNA
Rfam family: Bacterial small subunit ribosomal RNA
Source: RNAcentral